AUUGAACGCUGGCGGCAUGCUUUACACAUGCAAGUCGAACGGUAACAGGCCGCAAGGUGCUGACGAGUGGCGAACGGGUGAGUAAUGCAUCGGAACGUGCCCGGUCGUGGGGGAUAACUACUCGAAAGAGUAGCUAAUACCGCAUACGAUCUAUGGAUGAAAGCGGGGGACCGUAAGGCCUCGCGCGAUUGGAGCGGCCGAUGUCAGAUUAGGUAGUUGGUGGGGUAAAGGCUCACCAAGCCAACGAUCUGUAGUUGGUCUGAGAGGACGACCAGCCACACUGGGACUGAGACACGGCCCAGACUCCUACGGGAGGCAGCAGUGGGGAAUUUUGGACAAUGGGCGCAAGCCUGAUCCAGCAAUGCCGCGUGCAGGAAGAAGGCCUUCGGGUUGUAAACUGCUUUUGUACGGAACGAAACGGCUCUGGUUAAUACCCGGGGCUAAUGACGGUACCGUAAGAAUAAGCACCGGCUAACUACGUG
This 482-nucleotide ribosomal RNA is filed under the name uncultured bacterium. Its description in RNAcentral is "partial 16S ribosomal RNA". It matches the Rfam family "Bacterial small subunit ribosomal RNA", at positions 30 to 507 of the family's 1533-position model. The record is from RNAcentral.